Molecule: ribosomal RNA, 433 nt
Filed under: uncultured bacterium
Lineage: Bacteria
Description: partial 16S ribosomal RNA
Rfam family: Bacterial small subunit ribosomal RNA
Source: RNAcentral
AACGAACGCUGGCGGCAUGCCUAACACAUGCAAGUCGAACGAGACCUUCGGGUCUAGUGGCGCACGGGUGCGUAACGCGUGGGAACCUGCCCUUAGGUUCGGAAUAACUCCCCGAAAGGGGUGCUAAUACCGGAUAAUGUCUUCGGACCAAAGAUUUAUCGCCUUUGGAUGGGCCCGCGUUGGAUUAGCUAGUUGUUAGGGUAAAAGCCUACCAAGGCGACGAUCCAUAGCUGGUCUGAGAGGAUGAUCAGCCACACUGGGACUGAGACACGGCCCAGACUCCUACGGGAGGCAGCAGUGGGGAAUAUUGGAAAAUGGGCGAAAGCCUGAUCCAGCAAUGCCGCGUGAGUGAUGAAGGCCUUAGGGUUGUAAAGCUCUUUUACCCGGGAUGAUAAUGACAGUACCGGGAGAAUAAGCUCCGGCUAACUACGUG